This 253-nucleotide ribosomal RNA is filed under the name uncultured bacterium. RNAcentral's name for it is "partial 16S ribosomal RNA". It matches the Rfam family "Bacterial small subunit ribosomal RNA", at positions 524 to 776 of the family's 1533-position model. The record is from RNAcentral.
UACGAAGGGGGCUAGCGUUGUUCGGAAUUACUGGGCGUAAAGCGCGCGCAGGCGGCUAUCCAAGUCAGUGGUGAAAGCCCGGAGCUCAACUCCGGAACUGCCAUUGAAACUGUUUAGCUGGAGUAUGAGAGAGGUGAGUGGAAUUCCCAGUGUAGAGGUGAAAUUCGUAGAUAUUGGGAAGAACACCGGUGGCGAAGGCGGCUCUCUGGACCGAGACUGACGCUGAGGCGCGAAAGCGUGGGGAGCAAACAGG